Molecule: ribosomal RNA, 390 nt
Filed under: uncultured bacterium
Lineage: Bacteria
Description: bacterial SSU rRNA
Rfam family: Bacterial small subunit ribosomal RNA
Source: RNAcentral
AUUGAACGCUGGCGGAAUGCUUUACACAUGCAAGUCGAGCGGCAGCGCGGGGCGAACCCUGGCGGCGAGCGGCGAACGGGUGAGUAACAUAUCGGAACGUACCCUGUCGUGGGGAGUAACUAUCCGAAAGGAUAGCUAAUACCGCAUACGACCUGAGGGUGAAAGCGGGGACCGCAAGGCCUCGCGCGAUAGGAGCGGCCGAUAUCGGAUUAGCUAGUUGGUGAGGUAAAGGCUCACCAAGGCGACGAUCCGUAGCGGGUCUGAGAGGACGACCCGCCACACUGGAACUGAGACACGGUCCAGACUCCUACGGGAGGCAGCAGUGGGGAAUUUUGGACAAUGGGCGCAAGCCUGAUCCAGCCAUGCCGCGUGAGUGAAGAAGGCCUUCGG